Molecule: ribosomal RNA, 449 nt
Filed under: uncultured bacterium
Lineage: Bacteria
Description: partial 16S ribosomal RNA
Rfam family: Bacterial small subunit ribosomal RNA
Source: RNAcentral
AAUGAACGCUGGCGGCAGGCCUAACACAUGCAAGUCGAACGAAGCCUUCGGGCUUAGUGGCGGACGGGUGAGUAACGCGUGGGAACGUGCCCCUUGGUACGGAAUAGCCCCGGGUAACUGGGAGUAAUACCGUAUGUGGUCGAGAGACGAAAGAUUUAUCGUCAAGGGAUCGGUCCGCGUUGGAUUGGGAAGUUGGUGGGGUAAUGGCCUAAAAAACCGACGAUCCAUAGCUGGUUUGAGAGGAUGAUAAGCCACACUGGGACUGAGACACGGCCCAGACUCCUACGGGAGGCAGCAGUGGGGAAUCUUAGACAAUGGGGGAAACCCUGAUCUAGCCAUGCCGCGUGAUCGAUGAAGGCCUUAGGGUUGUAAAGAUCUUUCAGAUGGAAAGAUAAUGACGGUACCAUCAGAAGAAGCCCCGGCUAACUCCGUGCCAGCCGCCGCCGUAA